This 402-nucleotide ribosomal RNA is filed under the name bacterium. Its description in RNAcentral is "partial 16S ribosomal RNA". It matches the Rfam family "Bacterial small subunit ribosomal RNA", at positions 355 to 776 of the family's 1533-position model. The record is from RNAcentral.
UGGGGAAUUUUGCACAAUGGGGGAAACCCUGAUGCAGCGACGCCGCGUGAUUUAGAAGGCCUUCGGGUUGUAAAAAUCUUUUUUACGGGAUGAAAAUGACAGUACCGUAAGAAUAAGGUCCGGCUAAAUACGUGCCAGCAGCCGCGGUAAUACGUAUGGACCGAGCGUUGUCCGGAAUCAUUGGGCGUAAAGGGUACGUAGGCGGCCUAGUAAGUUAGAAGUGAAAUAAUAUAGCUGAACUAUAUAAAGCGUUUAAAACUGCUAGGCUUGAGAGAUGGAAGGGAAAGUGGAAUUCCUAGUGUAGCGGUGAAAUGCGCAGAUAUUAGGAAGAAUACCGGUGGCGAAGGCGACUUUCUGGUCAUCAUCUGACGCUGAGGUACGAAAGCGUGGGUAGCAAACAGG